UACGUAGGCAGCAAGCGUUGUUCGGAGUUACUGGGCGUAAAGAGUGCGUAGGCGGUCUUUUAAGUUUGGUGUGAAAUCUCCCGGCUCAACUGGGAGGGUGCGCCGAAAACUGGGAGGCUUGAGGAUGGGAGAGGCAUGCGGAGUUCCUGGUGUAGCGGUGAAAUGCGUAGAUAUCAGGAGGAACACCUGCGAUGUAGACAGCAUGCUGGACCAUUUCUGACGCUGAGGCACGAAAGCGUGGGUAGCAAACAGG
RNAcentral lists this ribosomal RNA (253 nucleotides) under uncultured bacterium. RNAcentral's name for it is "partial 16S ribosomal RNA". It matches the Rfam family "Bacterial small subunit ribosomal RNA", at positions 524 to 776 of the family's 1533-position model. The record is from RNAcentral.